Molecule: ribosomal RNA, 301 nt
Filed under: uncultured bacterium
Lineage: Bacteria
Description: partial 16S ribosomal RNA
Rfam family: Bacterial small subunit ribosomal RNA
Source: RNAcentral
CAGUAGCCACGGGAAUACGUAGGUGGCAAGCGUUGUCCGGAAUUUUUGGGCGUAAAGGGCUCGCAGGCGGUUUCUUAAGUCUGAUGUGAAAGCCCCCGGCUCAACCGGGGAGGGUCAUUGGAGACUGGGAAACUUGAGUGCAGAAGAGGAGAGUGGAAGUCCACGUGUAGCGGUGAAAUGCGUAGAGAUGUGGAGGAACACCAGUGGCGAAGGCGACUCUCUGGUCUGUAACUGACGCUGAGGAGCGAAAGCGUGGGGAGCGAACAGGAUUAGAUACCCCAGUAGUCCCUGUCUCUUAUCC